Molecule: unclassified non-coding RNA, 302 nt
Filed under: uncultured fungus
Lineage: Eukaryota; Fungi
Description: sequence contains ITS1
Source: RNAcentral
GUAUAUAACUUUAUGGGCAUAAAAGACCCAGAUCAACAUUCUAUUACAUUCGUAGGAGUAUGUGAAUAACAUAGAACCUAGAGAGACAAGGAAAAGCUGGCACUUCAUUACAAAGGCACAGCAGUCCCCAAAACCUAUCCCGAUUGCUCAAGACAAUUUGCAUUCUCUAAGGUCUACAAAAAGGUGCACAGGUGGAAAUAAAUAAAUAAAUGACAAGCGUGCACAACUACCCUAGAAGGGCCAGCAACAGCCUAUCAAGUGUUUAUUCAAUAAUGAUCCUUCCGCAGGUUCACCUACGGAAA